RNAcentral lists this ribosomal RNA (467 nucleotides) under uncultured bacterium. Its description in RNAcentral is "partial 16S ribosomal RNA". It matches the Rfam family "Bacterial small subunit ribosomal RNA", at positions 29 to 507 of the family's 1533-position model. The record is from RNAcentral.
ACGAACGCUGGCGGCGUGCUUAACACAUGCGAGUCGAACGGUGAAGCUCCAGCUUGCUGGAGUGGAUCAGUGGCGAACGGGUGAGUAACACGUGAGCAACCUGCCCCUGACUCUGGAAUAAGCGCUGGAAACGGCGUCUAAUACUGGAUACGAGAAGGGUCCGCAUGGGCACUUUCUGGAAAGUUUUUCGGUUGGGGAUGGGCUCGCGGCCUAUCAGCUUGUUGGUGAGGUAAUGGCUCACCAAGGCGACGACGGGUAGCCGGCCUGAGAGGGCGACCGGCCACACUGGGACUGAGACACGGCCCAGACUCCUACGGGAGGCAGCAGUGGGGAAUAUUGCACAAUGGGCGAAAGCCUGAUGCAGCGACGCCGCGUGAGGGAUGACGGCCUUCGGGUUGUAAACCUCUUUCAGCAGGGAAGAAGCGAAAGUGACGGUACCUGCAGAAGAAGCACCGGCUAACUACGUG